UAGCUCAGUUGGUAGAGCGCAACCUUGCCAAGGUUGAGGUCACGAGUUCGAACCUCGUG
RNAcentral lists this transfer RNA (59 nucleotides) under Vibrio alginolyticus. RNAcentral describes it as "tRNA-Gly". It matches the Rfam family "tRNA", at positions 8 to 63 of the family's 71-position model. Rfam says of the family: Transfer RNA (tRNA) molecules are approximately 80 nucleotides in length. RNAcentral also lists the same sequence under 5 other names. Lineage: Bacteria; Pseudomonadati; Pseudomonadota; Gammaproteobacteria; Vibrionales; Vibrionaceae. The record is from RNAcentral.